GGAGGGAAGCUUGAGGUGUGGCCAGCCUGGUCAUGGACAGGAUUGAUAGAUUGAUAACUUUUUCUCGAUUCUUUGGGUAGUGGUGCUUGGCCAUUUUUAGUUGGUGGAGCAAUUUGUCUGGCAAAUUCUGAUAGUGACCAAGACUCUGGCAUGCUUACUAGUUGCAUGACCCCUGAGUAGUCAGUGUCCCCCAACUUCUUAGAGGGACAAGCAGUGACCAGCCACCCCAGUUUGAGCAAUAACAGGUCUGUGAUUCCCUGUAGAUGUCUGGGGCUGCAUGCGUGCUAUACUGACUGGCUCAGCAUGUGCCUACCCUAUGCUGGCAGGUGAGGGUAACCUGUUGAACCUCAUUCAUAAUGGGGAUUGCGGAUUGCAAUUAUUCCCCAUGAAUGAAGAAUUCCCAGUAAGUGCAGGUUAUAAGCUUGCGUU
This 429-nucleotide non-coding RNA is filed under the name Mesocricetus auratus (golden hamster). RNAcentral's name for it is "Eukaryotic small subunit ribosomal RNA". It matches the Rfam family "Eukaryotic small subunit ribosomal RNA", at positions 1205 to 1642 of the family's 1831-position model. Lineage: Eukaryota; Metazoa; Chordata; Mammalia; Rodentia; Cricetidae. The record is from Rfam by way of RNAcentral.